Molecule: ribosomal RNA, 468 nt
Filed under: uncultured bacterium
Lineage: Bacteria
Description: partial 16S ribosomal RNA
Rfam family: Bacterial small subunit ribosomal RNA
Source: RNAcentral
GACGAACGCUGGCGGCGUGCUUAACACAUGCAAGUCGAACGGAAAGGCCCUGCUUUUGUGGGGUGCUCGAGUGGCGAACGGGUGAGUAACACGUGAGUAACCUACCCUUGACUUUGGGAUAACUUCAGGAAGCUGGGGCUAAUACCGGAUAGGAGCUCCUGCUGCAUGGUGGGGGUUGGAAAGUUUCGGCGGUUGGGGAUGGACUCGCGGCUUAUCAGCUUGUUGGUGGGGUAGUGGCUUACCAAGGCUUUGACGGGUAGCCGGCCUGAGAGGGUGACCGGCCACCUUGGGACUGAGAUACGGCCCAGACUCCUACGGGAGGCAGCAGUGGGGAAUAUUGCACAAUGGGCGGAAGCCUGAUGCAGCAACGCCGCGUGCGGGAUGACGGCCUUCGGGUUGUAAACCGCUUUCGCCUGUGACGAAGCGUGAGUGACGGUAAUGGGUAAAGAAGCACCGGCUAACUACGUG